RNAcentral lists this ribosomal RNA (471 nucleotides) under uncultured Alphaproteobacteria bacterium. RNAcentral describes it as "SSU rRNA". It matches the Rfam family "Bacterial small subunit ribosomal RNA", at positions 242 to 730 of the family's 1533-position model. Lineage: Bacteria; Pseudomonadati; Pseudomonadota; Alphaproteobacteria. The record is from RNAcentral.
CAGGUAGUUGGUAGGGUAACGGCCUACCAAGCCUACGAUCCGUAGCUGGUCUGAGAGGAUGAUCAGCCACACUGGGACUGAGAUACGGCCCAGACUCCUACGGGAGGCAGCAGUGGGGAAUAUUGGACAAUGGGGGCAACCCUGAUCCAGCAAUGCCGCGUGAGUGAUGAAGGCCUUCGGGUUGUAAAGCUCUUUCGGCGGGGAAGAUGAUGACGGUACCCGCAGAAGAAGCCCCGGCUAACUUCGUGCCAGCAGCCGCGGUAAUACGAAGGGGGCUAGCGUUGUUCGGAAUUACUGGGCGUAAAGGGCGCGUAGGCGGUGCUGUAAGUCAGGCGUGAAAUCCCCGGGCUCAACCUGGGAAUUGCGUUUGAUACUGCGGCGCUGGAAUGCGGGAGAGGAUGGCGGAAUUCCCAGUGUAGAGGUGAAAUUCGUAGAUAUUGGGAAGAACACCGGUGGCGAAGGCGGCCAUCU